RNAcentral lists this ribosomal RNA (468 nucleotides) under uncultured bacterium. RNAcentral's name for it is "partial 16S ribosomal RNA". It matches the Rfam family "Bacterial small subunit ribosomal RNA", at positions 28 to 507 of the family's 1533-position model. The record is from RNAcentral.
GACGAACGCUGGCGGCGUGCUUAACACAUGCAAGUCGAACGGAAAGGCCCUGCUUUUGUGGGGUGCUCGAGUGGCGAACGGGUGAGUAACACGUGAGUAACCUGCCCUUGACUUUGGGAUAACUUCAGGAAACUGGGGCUAAUACCGGAUAGGAGCUCCUGCUGCAUGGUGGGGGUUGGAAAGUUUCGGCGGUUGGGGAUGGACUCGCGGCUUAUCAGCUUGUUGGUGGGGUAGUGGCUUACCAAGGCUUUGACGGGUAGCCGGCCUGCGAGGGUGACCGGCCACAUUGGGACUGAGAUACGGCCCAGACUCCUACGGGGGGCAGCAGUGGGGAAUAUUGCACAAUGGGCGGAAGCCUGAUGCAGCAACGCCGCGUGCGGGAUGACGGCCUUCGGGUUGUAAACCGCUUUCGCCUGUGACGAAGCGUGAGUGACGGUAAUGGGUAAAGAAGCACCGGCUAACUACGUG